Melanotaenia boesemani (Boeseman's rainbowfish) is the source of this 125-nucleotide long non-coding RNA. RefSeq lists it as uncharacterized. NCBI's taxonomy places the organism in Eukaryota, Metazoa, Chordata, Actinopteri, Atheriniformes, Melanotaeniidae. The transcript is spliced from 3 exons. The record is from RefSeq and is a predicted model, not a curated record.
CAGCAGGUUUUAUUAGACAGACUCAGAAGUCUGGUGGGCCUCUCAGGUCCUGGUCUUAAAUGCUUUUACUCCGAUCUCACAGAUCCACAUCAUAAGGUUUGAUCACAGUUCUACUGAUAAUCCAG